GAUGAAGAACGUAGCGAAAUGCGAUACGUAAUGUGAAUUGCAGAAUUCAGUGAAUCAUCGAGUCUUUGAACGCACAUUGCGCCCCCUGGUAUUCCGGGGGGCAUGCCUGUCCGAGCGUCAUUGCUGCCCUCAAGCACGGCUUGUGUGUUGGGCCUCCGUCCUCCUCCCGGGGGACGGGCCCGAAAGGCAGCGGCGGCACCGCGUCUGGUCCUCGAGCGUAUGGGGCUUCGUCACCCGCUCUUGUAGGCCCGGCCGGCGCUUGCCGACACAUCAAUCUUUUUUCCAGGUUGACCUCGGAUCAGGUAGGGAUACCCGCUGAACUUAAGCAUAUCAAUAAGCGGAGGA
Molecule: unclassified non-coding RNA, 345 nt
Filed under: soil metagenome
Description: partial contains 5.8S ribosomal RNA, internal transcribed spacer 2, and large subunit ribosomal RNA
Rfam family: 5.8S ribosomal RNA (bases 1-120)
Source: RNAcentral